Molecule: ribosomal RNA, 1016 nt
Filed under: Myxobolus sp. r GDB-2022
Lineage: Eukaryota; Metazoa; Cnidaria; Myxozoa; Bivalvulida; Myxobolidae
Description: SSU rRNA
Rfam family: Eukaryotic small subunit ribosomal RNA
Source: RNAcentral
GAGGGUGUAAAAAAAUCCAUCAGAGCAGCAGCGCGCAAAUAACCCAUCUAGACAGUAGAGUGGUGAAGAGAAGUACUGAGUGGGGGCCUAAUGGUCACCCACUGGAAUGAACGUAUUAAGCAAUUCGAUGAGUAACUACUGAGGGCAAGUCCUGGUGCCAGCAGCCGCCGGUAAUUCCCAGCUCCAGUGGCGUGAUUUAAAGUUGCUGCGUUUAAAACGCUCGUAGUUGGAUCACGCAGUAGUAUUGAGUAAUUCAAUAAGGCGGUUGGUGACGAUUUUCUGAAGAGAUUAUUGGAUCUCCGUCGAAUUGAAUGUUGACGCUUAAUGCUACUAUUUGCACACAAGUAUGACAUUUGGCCUUAAGUGAGUCGAAUGUAAUAUCUUGUGGAGUGUGCCUUGAAUAAAACAGAGUGCUCAAAGCAGGCGAACGCUUGAAUGUUAUAGCAUGGAACGAACAAACGUGUAUUUGCAUUGUAAUAUUGUAGUGUGAGGUAACUUGUGCUACAAUUUACAUAUGCAGCACCCGCCAAAAUACGGAUGUUGGUUUUCGUAUUAGGUGAUGAUUAACAGGAGCGGUUGGGGGCAUUGGUAUUUGGCCGCGAGAGGUGAAAUUCUUGGACCGGCCAAGGACUAACAGAUGCGAAGGCGUUUGUCUAGACCGUUUCCAUUAAUCAAGAACGAAAGUGGGAGGUUCGAAGACGAUCAGAUACCGUCCUAGUUCCCACUAUAAACUAUGCCGACCUGGGAUCAGUUUAGUGAUUUACAAGCUCUAGGUUGGUCCCCCUGGGAAACCUCAAGUUUUUCGGUUACGGGGAGAGUAUGGUCGCAAGUCUGAAACUUAAAGGAAUUGACGGAAGGGCACCACCAGGGGUGGAGCCUGCGGCUUAAUUUGACUCAACACGGGGAAACUUACUUGGUCCUGACAUCGAUAGGAUAGACAGACUAAUAGAUCUUACUGAUGCGGUGAGUGGUGGUGCAUGCCUUCUGUUACUCAAAAAAUUAUCCGCCCCUUUUCC